CAAGGGCUUGGUCCUGACUUUACUUUCAGCUCAAACUAGAUUUAUACAUGCAAGUCUCCGCACCCCCGUGAGGAUGCCCUUCGCCCCCUUCCCGGGGGCAAGGAGCGGGUAUCAGGCGCGCGCCAUGCAGCCCAGGACGCCUUGUUUAGCCACACCCCCAAGGGUAUUCAGCAGUAAUAAACAUUAAGCUAUAAGCGAAAGCUUGACUAGGUUAAGGUUUCUAGGGCCGGUUAAUCUCGUGCCAGCCACCGCGGUUAUACGAGUGGCCCAAGUUGAAAGUCGCCGGCGUAAAGAGUGGUUAGGAGAAUAUUAAACUAAAGUUGAACAACCCCCAGGCCGUUGUACGCUUCCGGGAGAACGAAACCCAACCACGAAAGUGACUUUAUUUACACUUCUGAACCCACGACAACUAGGAUACAAACUGGGAUUAGAUACCCCACUAUGCCUAGCCGUAAACUUUGAUGCUAACAUACAACUAGCAUCCGCCAGGGGACUACAAGCGCCAGCUUAAAACCCAAAGGACUUGGCGGUGCCUCAAACCCAUCUAGAGGAGCCUGUUCUUGAAUUGAUACUCCCCGUUCAACCUCACCACCCCUUGUCCGACCCGCCUAUAUACCGCCGUCGCCAGCUUACCCUGUGAAGGUCUCAUAGUAAGCAAAAUGGGCACAGCCCAGAACGUCAGGUCAAGGUGCAGCGAAUGGGGUGGGAAGAAAUGGGCUACAUUCCCUAAUAUAGGGUACUACGGAUAGCGCUGUGAAAACAGCUCUUGAAGGUGGAUUUAGCAGUAAGAAGAAAAUAGAGUGUUCUUCUGAACUCGGCUCUGAGGCGCGCACACACCGCCCGUCACUCUCCCCAAAUUCACUAAUUCAAGUAUUUAACGAAAAAACUCGAGUAAAGGGGAGGCAAGUCGUAACAUGGUAAGUGUACCGGAAGGUGCACUUGGAACAAU
RNAcentral lists this non-coding RNA (949 nucleotides) under Retropinna semoni (Australian smelt). RNAcentral's name for it is "12S ribosomal RNA". It matches the Rfam family "Bacterial small subunit ribosomal RNA". Lineage: Eukaryota; Metazoa; Chordata; Actinopteri; Osmeriformes; Retropinnidae. The record is from RNAcentral.